UAUAGUAAUAGUAUAUGCUAAUUAGAGACAAGAGUGAAGAGUGUAGAGACAAGAUUAAACUCUACAAAUAUCAGUUAUAGUUGAGCAACUAUAGAGUAAAGUGAGAAUAUUGCUCUUUGGUAGCAAGAACUAAUAACGACCAAGUUGAUAAAUAAUUGGAAAGUUAUUUUUUAAAAUUGUAAUUAUUUAUAUGAUGUGAGGAUUCAAAUUAAUUCCUAUUGAAAAAUGUCGAAAAUACUGAUUCUAUUAAUUGCCAUUCUGGUUUUCAUCUCCAUGAUGCGAGUCACCGUUGCGCAAUGUGCCGAACAUGAGGAGCCUUGCACGCAAGAUAGCGACUGCUGUUCAGGAAAAUGCGUUUGGAUGGAGAUAAGACCCAUUUCUGGUAACAAUGGACGCUACUACGGAUGCUCAAGAGUAUGGAAUUUCUAGUAUGCAGUGAUUUAUACCGCAGUUCAUUCAUUGAUCAGAAUUAUGAUUGAUACAAAGCAUAUUAAUUUUUAAAAAGUUUGUUAUCUGCACUGACAAUAUCAAAUAUUUUGUACUCGAUAAAAUAAUAAAAAAUUACAGAACUAAUUA
Molecule: long non-coding RNA, 576 nt
Organism: Microplitis mediator
Lineage: Eukaryota; Metazoa; Arthropoda; Insecta; Hymenoptera; Braconidae
Exons: 3
Source: RefSeq, a predicted model, not a curated record